UAUCGCGACAACAGACACGGCUGCCAAGGCAGUUGCGGUAGCUCCCUCGCGUGUCCGGAGGCCGCGCUGCGUUGCAGACUUACUUAUUUUCUCUUAGGCUGACGGGGGAAGUAAGUUUCUGAAGAAAGAGACGCCACUCGGCCUCGUUUAAACCUGAACUCUGUACUCCCAGCACUCCAGAGGCUGAAGCAAGAGGAUCGUGAGUUCAAGCCCAGCGUGGGCGACGUGAAACCUGUGACGACGAUUCACCAGGGUAAAACCCAAACCACCCAAGGCUCCAGAAAACAAAGGAGAGAGACUACAAACCUCAUACACCUGCAAACCAGUGGAUGGCCUCAAGUUUGUUUUCAGAAAAUACCAACCAACCUGGUGUGCCAAAUAGCCAUUAAAUUUCAGAUAAUGAGCCAAGCCAAGGAUUAAAACCCACUUCCAUAUCUACAGCUCAUCAAGAACUCCUUGGAGGAGGCAUAUAGCUCUCUUAGCCCCUAGAUCACAGAGGACAAGAGCUUCAUGGUCUCUGGGAUCAGAAUGGUUUGAAAACCACUGCUUCCAGUAUAGAUUGAAUGAAGUCAGUGAGCUCAAGUCAUCAAGGGGGAAAAAAUGCUGGCUGCUGCUGCUGCUGAGCUGGCUGAGAAGGUGGUGGCCGUCGUGCCAGGACUGGAGGCUGUGAAGGACCCAGUCACAAAAGCAAUCUCGGACAAUAGGGUGGGAAAAGACCAGAGAAGUGAGGCUCAGAGGAGAGGUGAUGCUGACCUCGGCUCACAGUCACUGAGGACCAGAAGCCACCCCAGAUGUCCAAGUCCAGGCAGCAGUGCUCUCUGUAGGUCUGGGAUCCUUGGAGAGGCUCUGCAAGGCCAGCUUGGGUUAUGAGAAAGAGCUUUCCGGCAAUUAGAGCUGUUCAAACAGUGGUUCAGCCCAAGGGAUUUGGUGACAGUGACCCACCAGGAAGCUGUGGAGGGGUGGAGGAGGAAGUAAUUCGGUUGGCAGACUCUGAUUUUGAUCCUGAGAGUCCAAAUGCACUUGGUCACAAAACAUCAAUACUAUGACUUAAAGUGUCAAACUGUAACAAAUACCACAUCUUACUUUUAUUUUUCUUUUCAUUAGAUAACUUGUAUUUUAAGGGAAAAAAAAUGAACUGGAUUGCCAUUUACUGCCUUGCGCUCUCGGACAUGGGAAGUGGUUUAAAAAGUGAGCUGAGAAAAGUGCUUA
Non-coding RNA from Heterocephalus glaber (naked mole-rat), 1209 nucleotides. The record is from RefSeq and is a predicted model, not a curated record. NCBI's taxonomy places the organism in Eukaryota, Metazoa, Chordata, Mammalia, Rodentia, Bathyergidae.